RNAcentral lists this ribosomal RNA (497 nucleotides) under uncultured bacterium. RNAcentral describes it as "partial 16S ribosomal RNA". It matches the Rfam family "Bacterial small subunit ribosomal RNA", at positions 28 to 507 of the family's 1533-position model. The record is from RNAcentral.
GACGAACGCUGGCGGCGUGCCUAAUACAUGCAAGUUGAGCGCUGAAGGUUGGUACUUGUACCAACUGGAUGAGCAGCGAACGGGUGAGUAACGCGUGGGGAAUCUGCCUUUGAGCGGGGGACAACAUUUGGAAACGAAUGCUAAUACCGCAUAAAAACUUUAAACACAAGUUUUAAGUUUGAAAGAUGCAAUUGCAUCACUCAAAGAUGAUCCCGCGUUGUAUUAGCUAGUUGGUGAGGUAAAGGCUCACCAAGGCGAUGAUACAUAGCCGACCUGAGUGGGUGAUCGGCCACAUUGGGACUGAGACACGGCCCAAACUCCUACGGGAGGCAGCAGUAGGGAAUCUUCGGAAAGGGACGAAAGUCUGACCGAGCAACGCCGCGUGAGUGAAGAAGGGUUUCGGAUCGUAAAACUCUGUUGGUAGAGAAGAACGUUGGUGAGAGUGGAAAGCUCAUCAAGUGACGGUAACUACCCAGAAAGGGACGGCUAACUACGUG